UUUUGAUAGUGUGUUUUUGUAAAUAGGUUGGAAACCUAUAAGAAUAGUUUUUGGCUAUAUCAAAGU
Molecule: transfer RNA, 66 nt
Filed under: Perna viridis (Asian green mussel)
Lineage: Eukaryota; Metazoa; Mollusca; Bivalvia; Mytilida; Mytilidae
Description: tRNA-Ser
Source: RNAcentral